GUGCAGCAGGCGAGAAUAGUCUACAAUGGACGAAAGUCUGAUAGUGCGACGCCGUGUGUGCGAUUAAUUCCUUCGGGAUGUAAAGCACUUUUCUAUGAGAUAGAAGCUCUUUAGGUUAAUAGCUUAUUGAGACGGAUAUUAUUAUAGGAAUAAGCUCCGGCUAACUCCGUGCCAGCAGCCGCGGUAAUACGGAAGGAGCGAGCGUUGUCCGGAUUUACUAGGCGUAAAGGGCUAGUAGGCGACUAAUUAAGUUAUAUGUUAAAUCCCACGGCUCAACUGUGGUCCUGCAUGUAAUACUGGUUAGAUAGAGUACUGUAGAGGAAGGCAGAAUUCCUGGAGUAGCGGUGGAAUGCGCAGAUAUCAGGAAGAAUACCAAAAGCGAAGGCAGCCUUCUGGGCAGUUACUGACGCUGAAUAGCGAAGGUGUGGGUAGCGAACAGGAUUAGAUA
RNAcentral lists this ribosomal RNA (448 nucleotides) under uncultured microorganism. RNAcentral's name for it is "bacterial SSU rRNA". It matches the Rfam family "Bacterial small subunit ribosomal RNA", at positions 346 to 784 of the family's 1533-position model. The record is from RNAcentral.